AGUCCCUGCUCUGGUCCUUCUUCUGCUUCGUGCGGCGGUUCUGGAACCACACCUUGACCUGGGGAGGGGUGGGGGAGGACCGGGAGGGGAGGGAAAGGAAGGCACGGACGGAAAGAGAGCGCGGAGGGGCCGGGGAGAGAGAGGCGAGAGCCAGGAGAGAGCGAGAGAUACGAGAGAGAUGUAUUAAAAUAAACGGGCAAGCGAGAUCCGCCCUCCGCCGCUUCCAGGGAAAACGGGAGAAUUCAGGAACAGGGACAGGAAUCCAGGGAUGGGAACCUGGGGAUGGCUCCCCAUGGAUGGAAUCCCAGGAAUGGGGAUCCCAGGCUCCUGUCCUUGGGAGCCCGGGGAUGGGAACCCAGGGAUGGGAACCUGGGGAUGGGAGCCCAGGAAUGGGGAUGCCAAGCUCCUGUCCCUGGAAUGGGAUCCCGGGAAUGGGAUUCAGGACAGGAGCCCAGGAAUGGGGAUGCCAGGCUCCUGUCCUUGGGAUGGGACCCCGGGAAUGGGACCCCAGGAAUGGGAUUCAGGACAGGAGCCCAGGGAUGGGAGCCUGGGGAUGGGAGCCCAGGGAUGGGGAUCCCAAGCUUCUGUCCCUGGGACGGGACCCCAGGGAUGGGAUUCAGGACAGGAGCCCAUAGAUGGGAACCCAUGGAUGGCACCCCAGGAAUGGGAUCCCAAGCUCCUGUCCCUGGGAUGGGACCAUGGGAAUGGGAACACAAGGAUGGAACUUGGAAAAGGAGUCCAGGAAUGGGACUCGGGACAGGAACCCAGGGAUGAGAACCCAUGGAUGGGAGCCCGGGAAUGGGGAUCCCAGGGAUGGGGAUCCCAGGCUCCUGUCCCUGGGGUGGGAGCCCAGGAAUGGGAUUCAGGACAGAAGCCCAUGGAUGGAAUCUCAGGAAUGGGGAUCCCAAGCUCCUGUCCCUGGGGUGGGAGUGGGGGAUGGAUCCCCAUGGAUGGGAUUCAGAACAGGAGCCCAUGGAUGGGAACCCGUGGAUGGGAGCCCAGGAAUGGGAAUCCCAGGACCCCAGGAAUGGGCACCCCAGGGAUGGGAUUCAGGACAGGACCCCAGGAAUGGGACCCCAGGGAUGGGAUUCCGGGCACCCCAGGCUCCUGUCCCCGGGAUGGGACCCCAGGGAUGGGACUUUGGGGUCGGGAAGGAGCCCAGAGCUCGUGCCGUGCUCGGCUCUCCCUGCGCUGUUUUUCCCGGGAAUGCUGAGCUACGGGACAGGCUGGAUUCUCCUCAACCCCAAACUGGUGUCCCCGGCUGUGACCCCUUCCCUGGCCGGGACACAGGGUGACACGUGAGGGCACGGGGUGGCUUCUGGUGGCCCUGAAUUCCUGGCUCCAGACCCAGCUGGGGACCCCUGGCCGAGGUCAGGAGGGAAGCCGGGCUGAGCCCCGCGGGAUCCCCG
This 1409-nucleotide long non-coding RNA is filed under the name Cyanistes caeruleus (blue tit). RNAcentral describes it as "lncRNA (ENSCCEG00000004619.1)". Lineage: Eukaryota; Metazoa; Chordata; Aves; Passeriformes; Paridae. The record is from RNAcentral.